GGGGGAUAUUGCGCAAUGGGGGCAACCCUGACGCAGCAACGCCGCGUGAAGGAUGAAGGUUUUCGGAUUGUAAACUUCUUUUAUUAAGGACGAAACUUGACGGUACUUAAUGAAUAAGCUCCGGCUAACUACGUGCCAGCAGCCGCGGUAAUACGUAGGGAGCAAGCGUUGUCCGGAUUUACUGGGUGUAAAGGGUGCGUAGGCGGCUUUGCAAGUCAGAUGUGAAAUCUAUGGGCUCAACCCAUAAACUGCAUUUGAAACUGUAGAGCUUGAGUGAAGUAGAGGCAGGCGGAAUUCCCCGUGUAGCGGUGAAAUGCGUAGAGAUGGGGAGGAACACCAGUGGCGAAGGCGGCCUGCUGGGCUUUAACUGACGCUGAGGCACGAAAGCGUGGGUAGCAAACAGGAUUAGAUACCCUGGUAGUCCACGCUGUAAACGAUGAUUACUAGGUGUGGGGGUCUGACCCCUUCCGUGCCGGAGUUAACACAAUAAGUAAUCCACCUGGGGAGUACGGCCGCAAGGUUGAAACUCAAAGGAAUUGACGGGGGCCCGCACAAGCAGUGGAGUAUGUGGUUUAAUUCGAAGCAACGCGAAGAACCUUACCAGGUCUUGACAUCCAACUAACGAAGUAGAGAUACAUUAGGUGCCCUUCGGGGAAAGUUGAGACAGGUGGUGCAUGGUUGUCGUCAGCUCGUGUCGUGAGAUGUUGGGUUAAGUCCCGCAACGAGCGCAACCCUUGCUAUUAGUUGCUACGCAAGAGCACUCUAAUAGGACUGCCGUUGACAAAACGGAGGAAGGUGGGGACGACGUCAAAUCAUCAUGCCCCUUAUGACCUGGGCUACACACGUACUACAAUGGAUGUUAACAGAGGGAAGCAAGACAGCGAUGUGGAGCAAACCCCUAAAAACAUUCUCAGUUCAGAUUGCAGGCUGCAACCCGCCUGCAUGAAGAUGGAAUUGCUAGUAAUCGCGGAUCAGCAUGCCGCGGUGAAUACGUUCCCG
This 999-nucleotide ribosomal RNA is filed under the name uncultured organism. RNAcentral's name for it is "bacterial SSU rRNA". It matches the Rfam family "Bacterial small subunit ribosomal RNA", at positions 356 to 1376 of the family's 1533-position model. The record is from RNAcentral.